GACGAACGCUGGCGGCGUGCCUAACACAUGCAAGUCGAACGGAAAGGCCAUGCUUUUGUGGGGUGCUCGAGUGGCGAACGGGUGAGUAACACGUGUGUAUCCUGCCCUUGACUUUGGGAUAUCUUCAGGAAACUGGGGCUAAUACCGGAUAGGAGCUCUUGCUGCAUGGUGGGGGUUGGAAAGUUUCGGCGGUUGGGGAUGGAAUCGCGGCUUAUCAGCUUGUUUGUGGGGUAGUGGCUUACCAAGGCUUCGACGGGUAGCCGGCCUGAGAGGGUGACCGGCCACAUUGGGACUGAGAUACGGCCCAGACUCCUACGGGAGGCAGAAGUGGGGAAUAUUGCACAAUGGGCGGAAGCCUGAUGCAGCAACGCCGCGUGCGGGAAGACGUCCUUCGGGGUAUAAACCGCUUUCGCCUGAGACGAAGCGUGAGUGACGGUAAUUAGUAAAGAAGCACCGGCUAACUACGUG
This 468-nucleotide ribosomal RNA is filed under the name uncultured bacterium. RNAcentral describes it as "partial 16S ribosomal RNA". It matches the Rfam family "Bacterial small subunit ribosomal RNA", at positions 28 to 507 of the family's 1533-position model. The record is from RNAcentral.